Molecule: ribosomal RNA, 167 nt
Filed under: Salarias sinuosus (fringelip blenny)
Lineage: Eukaryota; Metazoa; Chordata; Actinopteri; Blenniiformes; Blenniidae
Description: partial 12S rRNA
Source: RNAcentral
CACCGCGGUUAUACGAGAGGCCCAAGCUGACAGCUCCUCGGCGUAAAGCGUGGUUAAAAUAGUAAGCACUAAGGCCGAAUGCAGUUAAAGCUGUUAUACGUAAUCGAAUGCUAGAAGUCCCCUUACGAAAGUAGCCUUAAUAUCUUGAAUCCACGAAAGCUAAGGUA